GAACGCACAUUGCGCCCCUUGGUAUUCCGAGGGGCAUGCCUGUUCGAGCGUCAUUACAACCCUCAAGCACUGCUUGGUGUUGGGCCUCGCCGCUAACCCGGCGGGCUCUAAAAACAGUGGCGGUGCCGUCGGGCUCUGAGCGUAGUAAUUCUUCUCGCUAUAGAGUCCCGGUGGAUGCUGGCCAACAACCCCCAAUUUUCUAUGGUUGACCUCGGAUCAGGUAGGGAUACCCGCUGAACUUAAG
RNAcentral lists this unclassified non-coding RNA (244 nucleotides) under Leptodontidium trabinellum. RNAcentral's name for it is "sequence contains 5.8S rRNA gene". The stretch from base 1 to 53 matches the Rfam family "5.8S ribosomal RNA", at positions 102 to 154 of the family's 154-position model. Lineage: Eukaryota; Fungi; Ascomycota; Leotiomycetes; Helotiales; Leptodontidiaceae. The record is from RNAcentral.